CAGCCGCCACGGGAAUACGAAGGGGGCUAGCGUUGCUCGGAAUGACUGGGCGUAAAGGGCGCGUAGGCGGCGAUCAAAGUCAGGCGUGAAAUUCCUGGGCUCAACCUGGGGGCUGCGCUUGAUACUUGGUUGCUUGAGUGGGGAAGAGGGUCGUGGAAUUCCCAGUGUAGAGGUGAAAUUCGUAGAUAUUGGGAAGAACACCGGUGGCGAAGGCGGCGACCUGGUCCUUGACUGACGCUGAGGCGCGAAAGCGUGGGGAGCAAACAGGAUUAGAUACCCCCGUAGUCCCUGUCUCUUAUAC
RNAcentral lists this ribosomal RNA (301 nucleotides) under uncultured bacterium. RNAcentral describes it as "partial 16S ribosomal RNA". It matches the Rfam family "Bacterial small subunit ribosomal RNA", at positions 509 to 807 of the family's 1533-position model. The record is from RNAcentral.